RNAcentral lists this ribosomal RNA (253 nucleotides) under uncultured bacterium. RNAcentral describes it as "partial 16S ribosomal RNA". It matches the Rfam family "Bacterial small subunit ribosomal RNA", at positions 524 to 776 of the family's 1533-position model. The record is from RNAcentral.
UACGUAGGGUGCGAGCGUUAAUCGGAAUUACUGGGCGUAAAGGGUGCGCAGGCGGUUCUGCAAGUCAGGCGUGAAAUCCCCGGGCUUAACCUGGGAAUGGCGCUUGAAACUACGGGACUGGAGUAUGGCAGAGGGAGGUGGAAUUCCACGUGUAGCGGUGAAAUGCGUAGAGAUGUGGAGGAACACCGAUGGCGAAGGCAGCCUCCUGGGCCAAUACUGACGCUCAUGCACGAAAGCAUGGGGAGCAAACAGG